AACGAACGCUGGCGGCAGGCUUAACACAUGCAAGUCGAACGCCCCGCAAGGGGAGUGGCAGACGGGUGAGUAACGCGUGGGAACAUACCCUUUUCUACGGAAUAGCCCUGGGAAACUGGAAUUAAUACCGUAUACGCCCUACGGGGGAAAGAUUUAUCGGGGAAGGAUUGGCCCGCGUUGGAUUAGCUAGUUGGUGGGGUAAAGGCCUACCAAGGCGACGAUCCAUAGCUGGUCUGAGAGGAUGAUCAGCCACAUUGGGACUGAGACACGGCCCAAACUCCUACGGGAGGCAGCAGUGGUGAAUAUUGGACAAUGGGCGCAAGCCUGAUCCAGCCAUGCCGCGUGAGUGAUGAAGGCCUUAGGGUUGUAAAGCUCUUUCACCGAUGAAGAUAAUGACGGUAGUCGGAGAAGAAGCCCCGGCUACUUCGUG
Molecule: ribosomal RNA, 430 nt
Filed under: uncultured bacterium
Lineage: Bacteria
Description: partial 16S ribosomal RNA
Rfam family: Bacterial small subunit ribosomal RNA
Source: RNAcentral